UAAGGCCGUUGUCUGCAGCUGAUGAUCUCCAAAAAGAGCAAAACCAGUAGGUCCUGCAAUACUGGACAAAAGAACU
This 76-nucleotide non-coding RNA is filed under the name Chelonoidis abingdonii (Abingdon island giant tortoise). The record is from RNAcentral. Lineage: Eukaryota; Metazoa; Chordata; Testudines; Testudinidae.